UCCCUGGUGGUCCAGUGGCUAAGACUCUGUGCUCUCAAUGCGGGGGACCCAGGUUCGAACUCUGGUCAGGGAA
Dama dama (fallow deer) is the source of this 73-nucleotide non-coding RNA. Lineage: Eukaryota; Metazoa; Chordata; Mammalia; Artiodactyla; Cervidae. The record is from the annotation of a RefSeq genome assembly.